This 505-nucleotide ribosomal RNA is filed under the name uncultured bacterium. RNAcentral describes it as "partial 16S ribosomal RNA". It matches the Rfam family "Bacterial small subunit ribosomal RNA", at positions 28 to 507 of the family's 1533-position model. The record is from RNAcentral.
GACGGACGCUGGCGGCGUGCCUAAUACAUGCAAGUAGAACGCACAGUUUAUACCGUAGCUUGCUACACCAUAAACUGUGAGUUGCGAACGGGUGAGUAACGCGUAGGUAACCUGCCUGGUAGCGGGGGAUAACUAUUGGAAACGAUAGCUAAUACCGCAUAAUAUUAAUUAUUGCAUGAUAAUUGAUUGAAAGAUGCAAUUGCAUCACUACCAGAUGGACCUGCGUUGUAUUAGCUAGUAGGUGAGGUAACGGCUCACCUAGGCGACGAUACAUAGCCGACCUGAGAGGGUGAUCGGCCACACUGGGACUGAGACACGGCCCAGACUCCUACGGGAGGCAGCAGUAGGGAAUCUUCGGCAAUGGACGAAAGUCUGACCGAGCAACGCCGCGUGAGUGAAGAAGGUUUUCGGAUCGUAAAGCUCUGUUGUAAGAGAAGAACGGGUGUGAGAGUGGAAAGUUCACACUGUGACGGUAUCUUACCAGAAAGAGACGGCUAACUACGUG